UACGUAGGUGGCAAGCGUUAUCCGGAUUUACUGGGUGUAAAGGGAGCGUAGACGGUAUGGCAAGUCUGAAGUGAAAGCCCAGGGCUUAACCCUGGGACUGCUUUGGAAACUGUUAGACUAGAGUGCUGGAGAGGUAAGUGGAAUUCCUAGUGUAGCGGUGAAAUGCGUAGAUAUUAGGAGGAACACCAGUGGCGAAGGCGGCUUACUGGACAGUAACUGACGUUGAGGCUCGAAAGCGUGGGGAGCAAACAGG
RNAcentral lists this ribosomal RNA (253 nucleotides) under uncultured bacterium. RNAcentral describes it as "partial 16S ribosomal RNA". It matches the Rfam family "Bacterial small subunit ribosomal RNA", at positions 524 to 776 of the family's 1533-position model. The record is from RNAcentral.